CGCGUAGGUGGUUUGUUAAGUUGGAUGUGAAAGCCCCGGGCUCAACCUGGGAACUGCAUCCAAAACUGGCAAGCUAGAGUACGGUAGAGGGUGGUGGAAUUUCCUGUGUAGCGGUGAAAUGCGUUGAUAUCCUGCAGAACACCGGCGGCGAAGGCGGAUCUCUGGUACGCAACUGACGCUCAGGCGCGAAAGUCGGGGGAAGCAAACA
Molecule: ribosomal RNA, 208 nt
Filed under: uncultured bacterium
Lineage: Bacteria
Description: partial 16S ribosomal RNA
Rfam family: Bacterial small subunit ribosomal RNA
Source: RNAcentral